This 777-nucleotide ribosomal RNA is filed under the name Gymnogongrus sp. FredericqS_19.i.95_2. RNAcentral's name for it is "LSU rRNA". It matches the Rfam family "Eukaryotic large subunit ribosomal RNA", at positions 451 to 1307 of the family's 3401-position model. Lineage: Eukaryota; Rhodophyta; Florideophyceae; Gigartinales; Phyllophoraceae. The record is from RNAcentral.
GCGCCCUGUGUGUUCAGCCUUCGGGUGCAUUGGCNCAGGUGCUUAUCCGCUGUGAGUUUUCGGGGGUCGAUUUUGGACCCCUGGGGACUGAGGGCUCCCCUUUUGGGUGAGGACAGCGGAGUGACGACGCGAUACGACCCGUCUUGAAACACGGACCAAGGAGUCUAGCGCGGGUGCGAGUCGGAGGGUGCAAGCCCGUGGGCGAAGUGAAAGCGAGUGUAAAAACGAGCAGUUUGGGGCGGCAUAAGAUCGUUGAUCUUAAGACCGACCCAGAGCAGUUGCGCUGGGACCCGAAAGAUGGUGAACUAUGCCGGAGUAGGGCAAAGCCAGAGGAAACUCUGGUGGAGGCUCGUAGCGGUGCUGACGUGCAAAUCGCUCGUCGAACUUGGGUAUAGGGGCGAAAGACUAAUCGAACCAUCUAGUAGCUGGUUCCCUCCGAAGUUUCUCUCAGGAUAGCGGGCCGACAAGUUGUUUUGUGCGGUAAAGCGAAUGAUUAGCGCAAUCGGGGGCGUUUAGCCUUUGGGCGAUUCUCAAACUUUCAAUGCGCAAGGGUGCCGCUGCUUAAUUGAGCGGUACCGGUAAAAACGUCGGCCCUGUGGGCCACUUUUGGUAAGCAGAACUGGCGAUACGGGAUGAACCGUAAGCAAGGUUAAGGCGCCAAACUGCCCGCUUAUAGACCCCACAAAAGGUGUUGAUUCAUCGAGACAGCAGGACGGUGGCCAUGGAAGUCGGCAAUCCGCUAAGGAGUGUGUAACAACUCACCUCGCCGAAUGAAUU